GAUUUGAAAUAUAUAGUUAAACAAUUCGAAGAUGCAUGGAGGAACUAAAUAGGAGAUCCUACGUUACUAUUGUAAUGAUUAAUUCUAAACCGCGACUUAAGCUUUUCUUUUUUAAUGAUAAACCGGGAGUUAAUUUGAUAAGUUUGAGUUUCUUAAUAUAACUAAUAAAGUUGAUUUGAUUUUAAGUUUUAAUUAGACGAGUCAGUUUAACCUAAUUGAUACUUUAAGCCUUUGGUUUGAUGGGAGUUGUAACAGAUAAGCUGUUAUAUCAAUCAAGCUAAUGGACUUUUAAUGACCCCUUAAUAAACAAUAAUUGAGAUCUUGAUUUUCUAUUUAUUUCCUGAUACAAACUUUAUGUUAAUAUCUAAGACAAAAAAAACGUUAAUAAUGUAUUUGAGCAACUCUAUUUUAUGCGAAUAAUAGUCUCGCACGAAUAUAUGUAGGAACUCCAUUUUAUGCGAAUAAUCAUCUAUUACCCAAAUAAUAGAUGAUUUUAAUUUUGAAAAGAAUAUUAAGUAAUAUAAAAUGUUUCAAUAAAAAAAAUAGGGGUAAGCCGU
This 557-nucleotide long non-coding RNA is filed under the name Brassica napus (rape). Its description in RNAcentral is "long non-coding RNA (BNAP_LNC003728)". Lineage: Eukaryota; Viridiplantae; Streptophyta; Magnoliopsida; Brassicales; Brassicaceae. The record is from RNAcentral.